UGGGAUUUAGCUCAGUGGCAUAAGCACCUGCCUUGCAAGCAGGUGGUCGUGAGUUCAAUCCCUG
RNAcentral lists this transfer RNA (64 nucleotides) under Cavia porcellus (domestic guinea pig). It matches the Rfam family "tRNA". From Rfam's summary of the family: Transfer RNA (tRNA) molecules are approximately 80 nucleotides in length. Their secondary structure includes four short double-helical elements and three loops (D, anti-codon, and T loops). Lineage: Eukaryota; Metazoa; Chordata; Mammalia; Rodentia; Caviidae. The record is from Rfam by way of RNAcentral.